UUAUCAUAACCCCUUUAAAUAAACUAAAAGUUCAUCUAUUAUUUGACACUUUUAAAGACUUGAUUUAAAAAUCAAAAUUUAUGUAUUUACACGUCAAUAAUAACACUAAAAAUAGCAUAACUUUUGAAACUUUAAUUUCACACAGCUUCAUUUGCCAUCUUCGAUGCAGUAACUACCUAGCGGGCCCACGGUUCAAGUAGAUCUCCUUUCCUUAUCAAGUGAUAGUGUUUAACAUGCGAUCCAAAUUAACGCAUUUAUCUCCUCCCCCUUCCCCUUCUCUCUCUCUCUUCAAAGACAGGUUCAUAUGCACAGAUCUAUGAUAUGCAUGCAUGCAUCGAAACAGAUGAGCGCCGCCACAAGCAUAACUUGUAUAAUCCUGCCUCCGGCCAUGGCCCACGGCGGGGGAGGCAGCACGCCACUUAUGUAAAGAUACCUGUCCCAUCGUCGUUCCUAGACUGCUAUGGCUUCCCAUUCCAUUGAUUCUGUCACAAAGAUAAUUAAGGGUUAAGCCAUCAUGAAACACUGACAUACGGUAACUGAGGAGCCGAGAGAACUCAAAAUAUACACCACCAAAAGUGUCAUCGCGAAAUGUGACUACACCAUCAUACAAAAACAAAACAAGCAAUGCCAUUCAUCAAAUAAUCAUAAAUACUUGGACAGCUCCUGCAUUAACAGUUUCUGUUUGGGAAGAAAAAGAUUAGUACACAACAAGUACAGUGGUGGGGAAUCAUUCAUCUCCAGUUCUACUUGAGCUUUCGGUGCCCGACUGCUUUACAAAUUGUCCGCGAACACGAGGCCUCUGUUCAGCCAACUUCUUUCUGUUCUGAUACCGUACCUGAGCCAAAACCACACUGUAAGAGGACAUGUAUGGAAUAUAACUAACAAUAAUCGUACUGUUUACAGAAUUUUUUGGUUCAAAGUUACUGUUCUUAUAUUCAACACUA
Long non-coding RNA from Salvia miltiorrhiza (redroot sage), 944 nucleotides. RefSeq lists it as uncharacterized. The record is from RefSeq and is a predicted model, not a curated record. Lineage: Eukaryota; Viridiplantae; Streptophyta; Magnoliopsida; Lamiales; Lamiaceae. The transcript has 2 exons.